Molecule: ribosomal RNA, 445 nt
Filed under: uncultured bacterium
Lineage: Bacteria
Description: bacterial SSU rRNA
Rfam family: Bacterial small subunit ribosomal RNA
Source: RNAcentral
UGGGGAAUAUUGGACAAUGGGCGAAAGCCUGAUCCAGCAAUGCCGCGUGAGUGAUGAAGGCCUUAGGGUUGUAAAGCUCUUUUACCAGGGAUGAUAAUGACAGUACCUGGAGAAUAAGCUCCGGCUAACUCCGUGCCAGCAGCCGCGGUAAUACGGAGGGAGCUAGCGUUGUUCGGAAUUACUGGGCGUAAAGCGUACGUAGGCGGUGACUCAAGUCAGAGGUGAAAGCCUGGAGCUCAACUCCAGAACUGCCUUUGAAACUAGGUCGCUAGAAUCACGGAGAGGUGAGUGGAAUUCCGAGUGUAGAGGUGAAAUUCGUAGAUAUUCGGAAGAACACCAGUGGCGAAGGCGGCUCACUGGACGUGUAUUGACGCUGAGGUACGAAAGCGUGGGGAGCAAACAGGAUUAGAUACCAGUAGUCCCUGAGCGGGCUGGCAAGGCGCAU